AAGGAUUCCCCUAGUAACUGCGAGUGAAGCGGGAAAAGCUCAAAUUUAAAAUCUGGUGGUUUUGCCAUCCGAGUUGUAAUCUGGAGAAGCGUUUUCUGUGCUGGACCGUGUACAAGUCUCUUGGAACAGAGCGUCAUAGAGGGUGAGAAUCCCGUCCAUGACACGGACACCCAGUGCUAUGUGAUACGUUUUCAAAGAGUCGAGUUGUUUGGGAAUGCAGCUCAAAAUGGGUGGUAAGCUCCAUCUAAAGCUAAAUAUUGGCGAGAGACCGAUAGCGAACAAGUACCGUGAGGGAAAGAUGAAAAGCACUUUGGAAAGAGAGUUAAACAGUACGUGAAAUUGUUGAAAGGGAAACGCUUGAAGUUAGUCGCGUCUUACUUGACUCAGCCUUGCUUCGGCUUGGUGUAUUUCAUGUGAGACGGGUCAACAUCGAUUUUGACCGGCAGACAAGGGGAGUAAGAAUGUGGCACUCUUCGGAGUGUGUUAUAGCUUAUUCUCAUAUGUGUCGGUUGGGAUCGAGGACCGCAGCGCGCCCUUGUGGCCGGAGGUUCGCCUCACGUUACGCGCUUAGGAUGUGGCAUAAUGGCUUUAAGCGACCCGUCUG
Molecule: ribosomal RNA, 604 nt
Filed under: Fuscoporia gilva
Lineage: Eukaryota; Fungi; Basidiomycota; Agaricomycetes; Hymenochaetales; Hymenochaetaceae
Description: eukaryotic LSU rRNA
Rfam family: Eukaryotic large subunit ribosomal RNA
Source: RNAcentral